UGAGGGUUUUGCGUUUUGGUAGGCGCUGUUUGGUUUCAACCCAAAUGUAGCAGGUUCGAUUCCUGCAACUCUUGUCC
Molecule: transfer RNA, 77 nt
Filed under: Chroodactylon ornatum
Lineage: Eukaryota; Rhodophyta; Stylonematophyceae; Stylonematales; Stylonemataceae
Description: tRNA-Trp
Rfam family: tRNA
About the family: Transfer RNA (tRNA) molecules are approximately 80 nucleotides in length. Their secondary structure includes four short double-helical elements and three loops (D, anti-codon, and T loops).
Source: RNAcentral